UCUGAACGACGCCAGCGGAGGGACAUU
Molecule: ribosomal RNA, 27 nt
Filed under: Trichoderma atroviride
Lineage: Eukaryota; Fungi; Ascomycota; Sordariomycetes; Hypocreales; Hypocreaceae
Description: partial 18S ribosomal RNA
Source: RNAcentral